GCAUGUCGCACUCCUCCUUCCAUUCAGUAAAGCUCUCAGGGCCCAUAAAGCUCGCUUUGUCCACUCUGUUACCCGAUGUUGCCAAUCCAUGACAAGGUAAUAACCCUACCACUCAACAACUUAAAUUAUCAAUAACUCACAAAGAGACCUCACCAUUUGCAAUUUCUCUUGGUAGCUCGGAAGUUUCCUCAGCCAAAAUCCUUCUCUUUGGUGAGUACUAUGCAUAGCUUUUAUCUUUCCGCUAACUCUGAUAUCAAAAGGGUUUGUGUGUACCAAACAAGGCAACUAAUGUAGAUGCGAAGCGAAGUGUUGAGGUAAAAGUAAAUCGCCUCAUUUUUUAACAUCGAAAUAUGAUUGAUAAAUGUGCCUAAAUCCUAACGUAACAGUUUUUAACUCAAUUCAUUGCCUGCUUGUUAUCCAAAGUUUCUCCUUCAGCUAACUAUUCACUAAUUGUAUUUUCCUUCCAAGAAUUUAGAAGACAGUUCUUCUCAGAGAUGGGAUUCAUCAGCUAUGUUUGAAGCAAGAUCUGCAAUUUCAAAUGUCUGCCAACCUCAAUCAUUUGUGAAGAAAACCAGACCAGGAUGUGACUGAUAGUGAAACAAAUAUGGAAGGGAAACAUGUAUAAAAUCAUUAUUAUAUGCAGAAACAAGAAAGGAUAAAAACAUGCAUAUCAAUGUAGAACAAAUGAUCACGAGAGCCAUUGCCACUGCUUUUGAAAUCCAACUGCUGAUUCAUAGAAGUAAAAUCAUUAUCACGCACUGGAUCAUUAUCGAUGAUGAGAAUUGUUGUAAAUCAUCAACAAAUAAAAGUGCAGGCAUCUUUCCUUCUUGUCUCGGAAAAUUUAGAUUCGUGUUAGCAGAUUUCAAAAUACACGAAAAAAUACGAUCAUCACACAUAAUCAUGUAAUUAAUUCGUAAAUCUAUGCAAAUUCAGAUAAACAAUUGCGGAUACAGAGAGAGUAUUUGAAGCUAAAUUGAAAAUUAUUUUCAAUUCAAAAUCAAGUCAAGGAGAAGAAAUCACCUUG
This 1024-nucleotide long non-coding RNA is filed under the name Populus tremula. RNAcentral describes it as "long non-coding RNA (PTRE_LNC002250)". The record is from RNAcentral. Lineage: Eukaryota; Viridiplantae; Streptophyta; Magnoliopsida; Malpighiales; Salicaceae.